Nicotiana attenuata is the source of this 96-nucleotide microRNA precursor. It matches the Rfam family "MIR6152 microRNA precursor family". The record is from Rfam. Lineage: Eukaryota; Viridiplantae; Streptophyta; Magnoliopsida; Solanales; Solanaceae.
UGGACAGAUUAUUGUAUUCAACUGUAUUCACGACGUGAAAUAGGGGAUUACACUGUUUUAAAACGGAAAGUGAAUCAAUUAACAUAAUAGACUCCU